AAAAUAUUUGUCUGUGAACAGGUUGGUUGCACAAUUUUGAACUUACAAAAUGAAGUUAGUAAUAAGUUUCCUCAUUUUUAGUUGAAACAAUCAGGCAGUAGCAAUGACUAGUCCUGUCUCUUAACUUUUUCUUUGCAUGUGCUUGUAAUCCUGACUAAAAGAACAAAACUUCAACAAUGAUAGGAUCUCUGUGUAUCUUGAUUAAUGCCAAGAACUUUAUCUAGUAUAGCUCAUUUGUAGGAUAAGGCUAUCCAGGAGUUUUUUUCUGUUGAAAAACGGAAAUGGAGUAGAUGGAAGUUUGUGUGACUCUGGAUUGACUUCAGCUUAAUGAACACUGAAGUAAUUGCCAUUGCCUUAUAAAAUUCUUACUUUAGCUAUUAUAGUAUAUUCUUUAUGUCAGAAACAACAAACUCUAGACCUACCUAGCAAUUGACUUGUGCCCUUCAAUAAGUGUUUUUCCCCUCCAUCAUGUUUUCCAUGGCGAUGGAGCAGAUGGAAGAUUAUGUAACUCUGGAUUGAUACCGGCUUAAUGAACUCCA
This 539-nucleotide unclassified non-coding RNA is filed under the name Hevea brasiliensis (rubber tree). Lineage: Eukaryota; Viridiplantae; Streptophyta; Magnoliopsida; Malpighiales; Euphorbiaceae. The record is from RNAcentral.